GAUUAGAUUUUAUUUAUUAAUUAUUAUUAUUGAUUUUUAAAUUAUUAGAAAUAACUAUAAAUUAUAAAGUUUUAGUAUUGUUUAAAGAAAAAAUAAUUUUAAUAAUAGUUUAUUAGUAUUGUAAAAGAAAAUUGAAAUAAUUUGAAAAAAUUUUAAUUUAAAAGAAAAUUUAAUUUAUUGUACCUUGUGUAUCAGCGUUUAUUAAAUAAAAAAUAAAUAUUUAUUUUUCUCGAUUUUAAAAGAGUUAAUAUAAUAUAUAAGUUAAUGUAGUAAAAUUAUUUAAAAUAUUAUAUUAGAAAUGAAAUGUUAUUCGUUUUUAAAGGUAUCUAGUUUUUUAAGAAAUAAAUUUAAUUUAGAAAUUAUAAAUUUAUUUAGUUGUUUAAUUAAUUAAAUAAUUUAUAAUUUUAAUAUUUUAUGGGAUAAGCUAUAAAAUAAAUUUUUAAAAAUAAUAAAUAAAUUAAUAAAUAUAUGCUUAGAAUUAGCAACUAUUAAAAAGUUUGUUAUAAUUUAUUUUAUAAGUUAAAUUAUUUAUUAAAUUUUAAAUAUUUAUUAAAAUAUUAAUUUUAAUUUUUAAAAUUAAGUAAUAAUGAUAGAAUUAGUAUAUAGUAUUGUUAAAAUAAUUGUAAAUGAAAAGUUUAAAUAAAGAAUUCGGCAAAAAUAAUGUUCGCCUGUUUAACAAAAACAUGUCUUUUUGAAUUAUAUAUAAAGUCUAACCUGCCCACUGAUAAUAUUUAAAUGGCCGCAGUAUUUUGACUGUGCAAAGGUAGCAUAAUCAUUAGUCUUUUAAUUGAAGGCUGGAAUGAAUGGUUGGACGAAAUAUUAACUGUUUCAUUUAAAAUUUAAAUAGAAUUUUAUUUUUUAGUCAAAAAGCUAAAAUAAAUUUAAAAGACGAGAAGACCCUAUAAAUCUUUAUAUUUUAUUUAUUUUAAUUAUUAAGAUUAAUUUAAUUUUAAUAAAUUAAAAUAUUUUAUUGGGGUGAUAUUAAAAUUUAAAAAACUUUUAAUUUGUAAAAACAUUAAUUUAUGAAUAAUUGAUCCAUUAAUAAUGAUUAAAAAAUUAAGUUACUUUAGGGAUAACAGCGUAAUUUUUUUGGAGAGUUCAUAUCGAUAAAAAAGAUUGCGACCUCGAUGUUGGAUUAAGAUAUAAUUUUGGGUGUAGCCGUUCAAAUUUUAAGUCUGUUCGACUUUUAAAUUCUUACAUGAUCUGAGUUCAAACCGGUGUAAGCCAGGUUGGUUUCUAUCUUUAAAAAAUUAUAAUAUUUUAGUACGAAAGGACCAAAUAUUAAAAUAAUUAUAUUUAAUAUAAUGAAUAUUAUUAAUAUUUAUAUAAACUAUUUUGGCAGAUUAGUGCAAUAAAUUUAG
This 1361-nucleotide ribosomal RNA is filed under the name Drosophila auraria. RNAcentral's name for it is "16S ribosomal RNA". RNAcentral also lists the same sequence under 1 other name. The record is from RNAcentral. Lineage: Eukaryota; Metazoa; Arthropoda; Insecta; Diptera; Drosophilidae.